GGCUUAAUACAUGCAAGUCGAGCGGGAUUGGUCAGCAAUGGCCAUGAGAGCGGCGCACGGGUGAGUAACGCGUACACGACCUACCUCUAACAGGGGGAUAGCCCUGGGAAACUGGGAUUAAUACCGCAUAUAAUUUUGACAAAUAAAGAGUUGAAAUGAAAGUUCAGGCGGUUAGAGAUGGGUGUGCGUCUGAUUAGCUAGUUGGUGAGGUAACGGCUCACCAAGGCGAUGAUCAGUAGGGGGCGUGAGAGCGUGGUCCCCCACACGGGUACUGAGACACGGACCCGACUCCUACGGGAGGCAGCAGUAAGGAAUAUUGGACAAUGGCCGCAAGGCUGAUCCAGCCAUCCAGCGUGCAGGAAGAAGGCCCUAUGGGUUGUAAACUGC
This 387-nucleotide ribosomal RNA is filed under the name uncultured organism. RNAcentral's name for it is "bacterial SSU rRNA". It matches the Rfam family "Bacterial small subunit ribosomal RNA", at positions 45 to 433 of the family's 1533-position model. The record is from RNAcentral.